GAUGAACGCUGGCGGUCUGCUUAACACAUGCAAGUCGAACGGAAUCCUUCGGGAUUUAGUGGCGGACGGGUGAGUAACGCGUGAGAAUCUGCCUUCAGGUUCGGGACAACAGCUGGAAACGGCUGCUAAUACCGGAUGUGCCGAGAGGUGAAAGCUUUAGUGCCUGAAGAUGAGCUCGCGUCUGAUUGGCUAGUAGGAGUGGUAAUGGCACCCCUAGGCGACGAUCAGUAGCUGGUCUGAGAGGAUGAUCAGCCACACUGGGACUGAGACACGGCCCAGACUCCUACGGGAGGCAGCAGUGGGGAAUUUUCCGCAAUGGGCGCAAGCCUGACGGAGCAAGACCGCGUGAGGGAAGAAGGUCUGUGGAUUGUAAACCUCUUUUGAUGGGGAAGAAGACAGUGACGGUACCCAUCGAAUCAGCCUCGGCUAACUCCGUGCCAGCAGCCGCCGCGG
RNAcentral lists this ribosomal RNA (453 nucleotides) under uncultured bacterium. RNAcentral's name for it is "partial 16S ribosomal RNA". It matches the Rfam family "Bacterial small subunit ribosomal RNA", at positions 28 to 523 of the family's 1533-position model. The record is from RNAcentral.